UCCUCGUGGGCGAGGGGCUGGCCGCUGUCGACAGCCAUGGCGACAACACGGCGCACACCUCCCGGCUUCUUGUGCUGGAGGAGGAG
This 86-nucleotide transfer RNA is filed under the name Glycocaulis alkaliphilus. Its description in RNAcentral is "tRNA-Asp". Lineage: Bacteria; Pseudomonadati; Pseudomonadota; Alphaproteobacteria; Maricaulales; Maricaulaceae. The record is from RNAcentral.